UACGUAGGGAGCUAGCGUUGUCCGGAAUCAUUGGGCGUAAAGCGCGUGUAGGUGGCCAUGUAGGUCCGCUGUGAAAACUCGAGGCUCAACCUCGAGCUGUCGGUGGAAACCACAUGGCUAGAGUCCGGAAGAGGAGAGUGGAAUUCCUGGUGUAGCGGUGAAAUGCGCAGAUAUCAGGAAGAACACCAAUGGCGAAGGCAGCUCUCUGGGACGGUACUGACACUGAGACGCGAAAGCGUGGGGAGCGAACAGG
RNAcentral lists this ribosomal RNA (253 nucleotides) under uncultured bacterium. RNAcentral describes it as "partial 16S ribosomal RNA". It matches the Rfam family "Bacterial small subunit ribosomal RNA", at positions 524 to 776 of the family's 1533-position model. The record is from RNAcentral.